Molecule: ribosomal RNA, 253 nt
Filed under: uncultured bacterium
Lineage: Bacteria
Description: partial 16S ribosomal RNA
Rfam family: Bacterial small subunit ribosomal RNA
Source: RNAcentral
UACGUAGGGUGCUAGCGUUAUCCGGAUUUAUUGGGUUUAAAGGGCGCGUAGGCGGACUGUUAAGUCAGCUGUGAAAGCUUACGGCUCAACCGUGGAAUUGCAGUUGAUACUGGUUGACUUGAGUAUACAUGAGGUGGGUGGAAUUUGAUGUGUAGCGGUGAAAUGCGUAGAUAUCUGAAAGAACUCCAAUGGCGAAGGCGGCUCACUGGGGUAUAACUGACGCUGAUGCACGAAAGUGUGGGGAGCAAACAGG